This 87-nucleotide transfer RNA is filed under the name Gemmatimonadota bacterium. Its description in RNAcentral is "tRNA-Ser". It matches the Rfam family "tRNA". Rfam says of the family: Transfer RNA (tRNA) molecules are approximately 80 nucleotides in length. Their secondary structure includes four short double-helical elements and three loops (D, anti-codon, and T loops). RNAcentral also lists the same sequence under 2 other names. The record is from RNAcentral. Lineage: Bacteria; Pseudomonadati; Gemmatimonadota.
GGACAGGUGUCCGAGUGGCUGAAGGAACCGGUCUCGAAAACCGGCAUACCCGCAAGGGUAUCGUGGGUUCGAAUCCCACCCUGUCCG